Long non-coding RNA from Zophobas morio, 529 nucleotides. RefSeq lists it as uncharacterized. The transcript has 5 exons. NCBI's taxonomy places the organism in Eukaryota, Metazoa, Arthropoda, Insecta, Coleoptera, Tenebrionidae. The record is from RefSeq and is a predicted model, not a curated record.
UCUGUUUUUCUAGCGAUGAGCCUUCUAGAGACCGUACCAGAAAAAAAGCCUUCUGCUGAAGAAAGAAGGCAGAAAAUAAAAUUAAAAGUUCUAAAUAAUGAAGUGAACAGACUAAACAAGUUCCGCCUUGCGGAUAAUUUAUUAGAACAAAAAGCACAUACUCAGCCUCAAGAUUCUCAAAAAAUCGAAAAAGCAAAUAGCUUUUCUUCUGCAGAAACCACCCAUUUUGCUUCUGAAGUUCGCUCGCGCAAGAUAGCAAGUAAAGUUAUAGAUGAAAGUAUAUUAACUCCCCUACAAGAAAAUUCUUUUGAUCUGGAAACAGUUAAACUCACGGAUCAAGCAACUAUUCUAGCGAAAACCGCUCGUCUUCGCUUAGCUCUAUUGAUUUUUACUGCAUUUGCUUUCGCUUGUUUACUUCUUUUUCCGAAGCAAGGUUUAAUUCUCACAAGAUACAAAAUUCAGAAUAUUUUUGGGCCUUUUAUAAUUGCGGAGAUGAUUGCGUUGCUUUUUCAGUAUCAUUUAAAAUUUA